Molecule: ribosomal RNA, 449 nt
Filed under: uncultured bacterium
Lineage: Bacteria
Description: partial 16S ribosomal RNA
Rfam family: Bacterial small subunit ribosomal RNA
Source: RNAcentral
GACGAACGCUGGCGGCAUGCCAAACACAUGCAAGUCGAACGAGAUCUUCGGGUCUAGUGGCGCACGGGUGCGUAACGCGUGGGAAUCUGCCCUUUGGUUCGGAAUAACAGUUGGAAACGACUGCUAAUACCGGAUGAUGACGAAAGUCCAAAGAUUUAUCGCCAGAGGAUGAGCCCGCGUAGGAUUAGCUAGUUGGUGUGGUAAAGGCGCACCAAGGCGACGAUCCUUAGCCGGUCUGAGAGGAUGAUCAGCCACACUGGGACUGAGACACGGCCCAGACUCCUACGGGAGGCAGCAGUGGGGAAUAUUGGACAAUGGGCGAAAGCCUGAUCCAGCAAUGCCGCGUGAGUGAUGAAGGCCUUAGGGUUGUAAAGCUCUUUUACCCGGGAUGAUAAUGACAGUACCGGGAGAAUAAGCUCCGGCUAACUCCGUGCCAGCCGCCGCCGUAA